GACGAACGCUGGCGGCGUGCUUAAUACAUGCAAGUCGAACGGAAAGGCCCUGCUUUUGUUGGGUGCUCGAUUGGCGAACGGGUGAGUAACACGCGUGUAACCUGCCCUUGACUUUGGGAUAACUUCAGGAAACUGGGGCUAAUACCGGAUAUGAGCUUCUGCUCCACGGGGGGGGUUGGAAAGUUUCGGCGGUUCGGGCUCGACUCGAGGGUUAUCAGCUGGAUGGUGGGGUAGUUGCUGUCCAAGGCUGUGACGGGUAGCCGGCAUGAGAGGGUGAACGGCGACAUUGGGACUAAGGUAGGGACCAGAAGCGUACGGGCGGCAGCAGUGGGGAAUAUUGCACAAUGGGCGGAAGCCUGAUGCAGCAACGCUGCGUGCGGGAUGACGGCCUUCGGGUUGUAAACCGCUUUCGCCGGUGACGAAGCGUGAGUGACGGUAAUGGGUAAAGAAGCACCGGCUAACUACGUG
This 468-nucleotide ribosomal RNA is filed under the name uncultured bacterium. RNAcentral describes it as "partial 16S ribosomal RNA". It matches the Rfam family "Bacterial small subunit ribosomal RNA", at positions 28 to 507 of the family's 1533-position model. The record is from RNAcentral.